This 24-nucleotide non-coding RNA is filed under the name Arabidopsis thaliana (thale cress). Lineage: Eukaryota; Viridiplantae; Streptophyta; Magnoliopsida; Brassicales; Brassicaceae. The record is from RNAcentral.
AGGGUCGACAAAAAGUCAAUGGAA